GCCCACAGCGACCUGGGGGCCUUUUAAAAUGCAGAUUUUGAUUGAGAACAUACGGAUUGGAGCCUGAGAUUCUGCAUUUCUAACAAGCUUCCAGGUGAUGCUGCU
This 105-nucleotide microRNA precursor is filed under the name Marmota monax (woodchuck). The record is from RNAcentral. Lineage: Eukaryota; Metazoa; Chordata; Mammalia; Rodentia; Sciuridae.